This 426-nucleotide ribosomal RNA is filed under the name uncultured bacterium. RNAcentral's name for it is "bacterial SSU rRNA". It matches the Rfam family "Bacterial small subunit ribosomal RNA", at positions 356 to 773 of the family's 1533-position model. The record is from RNAcentral.
GAGGGAUUUUGCGCAAUGGGGGGAACCCUGACGCAGCAACGCCGCGUGAGUGAAGAAGGCCUUUGGGUUGUAAAGCUCUGUCGAUGGGGAAGAAGUUACUGUAUUUAAAUAGAGUAUGGUAUUGACGGUACCUGAGAAGGAAGCAUCGGCUAACUCCGUGCCAGCAGCCGCGGUAAUACGGGGGAUGCAAGCGUUAUUCGGAAUUAUUGGGCGUAAAGGGCGCGUAGGCGGUUUAACAAGUCAGAUGUGAAAGCCCGUGGCUUAACCACGGAAGUGCAUUUGAAACUGUUGGACUUGAGUACGGUAGAGGAAAGCGGAAUUCCUGGUGUAGAGGUGAAAUUCGUAGAUAUCAGGAGGAACACCGGUGGCGAAGGCGGCUUUCUGGGCCUGUACUGACGCUGAGGCGCGAAGGCGUGGGUAGCGAAC